Molecule: ribosomal RNA, 1139 nt
Filed under: Whitmania laevis
Lineage: Eukaryota; Metazoa; Annelida; Clitellata; Hirudinida; Haemopidae
Description: 16S ribosomal RNA
Rfam family: Archaeal large subunit ribosomal RNA (bases 733-1067)
Source: RNAcentral
UCAAAUGUUUAUUAAUAUAAAAAAUUAAAAUAUAAGAAGAAGUGGAAUAAAAUAAAACAGUGAUGGGAUUAAAUUUGAUUAUAGUAGGUUAUCGUACCUUUUGCAUUAUGGGUUUACAAGGUAUAAUAUUAAUAUUAAUUUCUCGAAACUUUAAUGAGCUAGAAUAUAAUUGUUAAGAACUAAUAAGUCAUUGUUGCAUUAAUUUAUAAAAAUUAUAUUUUAGAAGUUAUACACUAAUCGCAUUAAGUUAUAGCUAGUUUCUAUUAUUACUAUAAAUUAGUGAAUUUAUAAAGUUUUGAUUUUUAGGGGACAAGCUCUAAUAAUAAACCAAUUGUACAUAAAAUUAUAACAGGUAGACUUAGAAUCAGUCACUAUAAAUACUUUAUCGUAGUUAUAAUAUAUUUUAAUGAAUUAAUGGAAAAAUAAAAUAGAAUGAUUCAUGAAUCAAUUUAGUAUUAUAUAAUGUAAAUAUCAGUAGUUAUUAAAAUAGUAUUAAUGAAUUCGGCAAAGUAAAUUUUCGACUGUUUAGCAAAAACAUUUCCUUAUGAUAUAGAGAUUUAAGGUAAACCCUGCCCAAUGAUUAAUUGAAUGGCCGCAGUAUUCUGACUGUGCAAAGGUAGCAUAAUAAAUUGUUUAUUAAUUGUAAACUGGUAUGAAGGGGAUUACGAAAAAUUGACUGUCUCUAUACUAUUUAUCUAAUUUAAUCUUUAGUGUGAAGAAGCCUAGAUUUAAUUGUUAGACAAGAAGACCCUAUAAAGCUUAAUUUUAAUAUAAAGAUAGUUUAUAUAAAAUUUGAUUGGGGCGAUCUUUGAUUUAUUAAACAUCAAUUUUUUUAUGAUUAAUAGAUCUUUAUUUGACCCUUUAUUAGAUCAGAAGAUUAAGUUACUUUAGGGGUAACAGGCUGAUUUUAUACAGGAGUACUUAUCUAAUAUAAUGUUUGGCACCUCGAUGUUGACUUAAGAAACCUACAUGGCGCAAGAGCUUUAGUAAGGGGGUUUGUUCAACCCUUAAAAUCUUACAUGAGUUGAGUUCAGACCGGCGUGAGCCAGGUUAGAUUCUAUCUACAAUAAAUUAAUAUUUUUGCUUGUUGUACGAAAGGACCUAAGUAUUUCUAUUAUAGAGUUAAUAUUGUUAGCUUU